This 253-nucleotide ribosomal RNA is filed under the name uncultured bacterium. RNAcentral describes it as "partial 16S ribosomal RNA". It matches the Rfam family "Bacterial small subunit ribosomal RNA", at positions 524 to 776 of the family's 1533-position model. The record is from RNAcentral.
UACAGAGGUCCCAAGCGUUGUUCGGAUUCACUGGGCGUAAAGGGUGCGCAGGCGGUUCUGCAAGUCAGGCGUGAAAUCCCCGGGCUUAACCUGGGAAUGGCGCUUGAAACUACGGGACUGGAGUAUGGCAGAGGGAGGUGGAAUUCCACGUGUAGCGGUGAAAUGCGUAGAGAUGUGGAAGAACACCCGUGGCUAAGGCGGCUCUCUAGUACGGUACUGACGCUGAGACGCGAAAGCGUGGGGAGCGAACAGG